This 72-nucleotide transfer RNA is filed under the name Rattus norvegicus (Norway rat). It matches the Rfam family "tRNA". From Rfam's summary of the family: Transfer RNA (tRNA) molecules are approximately 80 nucleotides in length. Lineage: Eukaryota; Metazoa; Chordata; Mammalia; Rodentia; Muridae. The record is from Rfam by way of RNAcentral.
GGGGGCGUGGCUCAGUGGUAGAGCACCUGCCUUCUAGGCACAAGGCCUUGAAUUCCAACUAACCCGCUCCCC